UAAAGCGCGCGUAGGUGGUUUGUUAAGUUGGAUGUGAAAUCCCCGGGCUCAACCUGGGAACUGCAUCCAAAACUGGCAAGCUAGAGUAUGGUAGAGGGUGGUGGAAUUUCCUGUGUAGCGGUGAAAUGCGUAGAUAUAGGAAGGAACACCAGUGGCGAAGGCGACCACCUGGACUGAUACUGACACUGAGGUGCGAAAGCGUGGGGAGCAAACAGGAUUAGAUACCCUAG
Molecule: ribosomal RNA, 230 nt
Filed under: uncultured bacterium
Lineage: Bacteria
Description: partial 16S ribosomal RNA
Rfam family: Bacterial small subunit ribosomal RNA
Source: RNAcentral